ACGUGAUCUGAGUUCAGACCGGAGUAAUCCAGGUCAGUUUCUAUCUAUAACGGAGCUCUUUCUAGUACGAAAGGACCGAAAAAGCAUGGCCAAUACUUCCCGCACGCCAUAAUUAAUAAUUUAUGACUACACCUUAAUAAACAAUUAAUCCUUAAACUAGCUCUAAAAAAGAGC
RNAcentral lists this ribosomal RNA (174 nucleotides) under Trachycephalus venezolanus. RNAcentral describes it as "partial 16S ribosomal RNA". Lineage: Eukaryota; Metazoa; Chordata; Amphibia; Anura; Hylidae. The record is from RNAcentral.